RNAcentral lists this non-coding RNA (204 nucleotides) under Loxodonta africana (African savanna elephant). Its description in RNAcentral is "Connexin-43 internal ribosome entry site (IRES)". It matches the Rfam family "Connexin-43 internal ribosome entry site (IRES)". From Rfam's summary of the family: This family represents the connexin-43 internal ribosome entry site (IRES) which allows cap independent translation during conditions such as heat shock and stress. The record is from Rfam by way of RNAcentral. Lineage: Eukaryota; Metazoa; Chordata; Mammalia; Proboscidea; Elephantidae.
AGCUUUUGGGAGGUAUCAGCACUUUUCUUUCAUUAGAGGGAAGACGUGAGGAAAGUACCAGCAGCAGCAGACAUUUAAACUUUAAAUAGACAGGUCUGAGUGCCUGAGCUUACUUUUUUCAUUUUACUUCAUCUUCCAAGGAGUUCAAUCACUUGGCGUGCCUACUUCACUUCUUUUAAGCGAAGGAGUAAGUGAAACAACAUU